This 497-nucleotide ribosomal RNA is filed under the name uncultured bacterium. RNAcentral describes it as "partial 16S ribosomal RNA". It matches the Rfam family "Bacterial small subunit ribosomal RNA", at positions 28 to 507 of the family's 1533-position model. The record is from RNAcentral.
GAUGAACGCUGGCGGCGUGCCUAAUACAUGCAAGUCGAGCGAACGGACGAUAAGCUUGCUUUUCUGAUGUUAGCGGCGGACGGGUGAGUAACACGUGGAUAACCGACCUAUAAGACUGGGAUAACUUCGUGAAACCGGAUCUAAUACCGGAUAAUAUUUUGAACCGCAUGGUUCAACAGUGAAAGGCGGUCUUGCUGUCACUUAUAGAUGGAUCCGCGCUGCAUUAGCUAGUUGGUAAGGUAACGGCUUACCAAGGCAACGAUGCAUAGCCGACCUGAGAGGGUGAUCGGCCACACUGGAACUGAGACACGGUCCAGACUCCUACGGGAGGCAGCAGUAGGGAAUCUUGCGCAAUGGGCGAAAGCCUGACGGAGCAACGCCGCGUGAGUGAAGAAGGUCUUCGGAUCGUAAAACUCUGUUAUUAGGGAAGAACAUAUGUGUAAGUAACUGUGCACAUCUUGACGGUACCUAAUCAGAAAGCCACGGCUAACUACGUG